UGGCCUCAAGUGAUCCGCCCAACUCGGCCUCCCAAAGUGCUGGGUAACAGAUGUGAGCCACCACGCCCGGCCGAUACUUCGUUUUUCUGGAGGUCAUUUACUUAGCAAGGCUAGCUGUUUGGAUCCUGGCUAAAAAUGUGAAAGAAGACAGAAAGAGUCACAAGCAGUCAACAAAAGUCACGGGUCCUAGCAGGUAAAAGUUCAAGUACUUGAUUCAAAGCCGAAAUUCUCAGGUCCUCAGUCGUAGCCUGGUUACCCUUACAAACACCAGGGCUAAAGAGCACGGUUCAUGAUCUUUCCAGGACACAAGAUUUGAAAGCAUCUGUUUCGAAGGGAGAUAGCCUGCUAGAGGAAGCUUGCGGGCAACAGCAAAUUGGGAGUUGGACUAACACUUUCAGACUGGGAUGCCACGAAGAACUCGCCAGCAGAGAUAAGAGAUGGGCAAGAUGAAGAGAAUGAACUGUGAUUCUCAGAUAUCUGCCCGCAAGGUGGUUCCGAGAAAGCCAGCCGGAAACUGCAGCAUCGCGGAGGAUUUCUCCGGUUCAGGUUAAAGAGACAGCAGCCAGACGGUGCCGACCUCAAACCCAACUCCCGACAGCAACCUUGAGGCCACCCGAGGUGGCGCAUGCGCAGUGUGCGAGAUCGUGCUCCUUUUCAUACCUGCGGACCUGCGGAGUCUUCUUCCUGAGCAGGGCUUACGUCACGCAAGCGCCGCGGGUGUGGACGUCAUCUGAGAGCGCCACGCGCAGUCCCGAAACCCUGAGCACCGUCUGGCUAAGGCGUUGCUGUAGAGACCGUGCGCCGAGUUCCGCCCCCGAGGCGGGAUUGGAGGAGAACUGGUCAGCUGACAAGGGUGGUGUUUCGAAAGCGCGCGGUAGGCCGUGCUGGGACUCAGAGCCCGAAAACUGAUUUGAGGGGCGUCUUGACCGAAGGUGACCAGCUCCUGGAGACGCAAUGGAGAACCUGAAUGUCCCCUCGCUCCCCUGGAGUCUGUAUGCUGAGGAAGGGGCUACAGACAAUAGCCAUGCACUCACCCAAAUAAGACAUUCUUCAUGAAUUGUGAUUCAACUGAAAGCUCCCCUUAAGUUUACUGUCAGGGUGCUGAUACACAGAGCUACUCCUAGAAGAUUGAGGGUACAGAUUAGCCUCCAGAAUGGAUGAUUUUUGCUUGUACGCCCACCAGCAAUUUACAAGAGAACCUGUUUCCCCACACCUUACCCGCCAACAUGGGGAGUUUUCAUUCUUUUAAUCAUUACCAAUCUGAUAAGGGGAAAUGAUUAUUUCAUGGUUGCCUUAAUUUUUGUUUCUUUGAUUAUGAGAUUGGACAUGUUUUCCAACCACAUCCUAUACUUUUGCAGUCGAGUUUUGUAGCUCAGUGCAGGACCUUACAUGUAUUCCAGUUAAAUUUUAUCUUGUUGGAUUCAACCAAUCAUUCCUUCCUGUUGAGAUAAUUUUGGACCUGACUCUGCAGUCCCAGCGUGUUGGCCUUCCUUCCCAGUCUGGUGUUAUUUGCACAAUUGAUAAGCAGUUAUCUUUGGACUUAUCCAAGCUGUUGACAGAAUGUUAAUGAGUGUAGGGCCAAGGACAGAACUGCUUGGCAUUCCACUAGAGAAAGCCUUGGGAUGAUACCGUCCCAUCUGCUGUGACAGUUCAACCUCACCAUGCCUGGGAGUCAUGGCUGUGUUAGGAGCCUUCACCUGGGACACAGGGCCUGCGCACAGAUUCCAGCCCUGGCCCUGAUUAGUUGCGUGGCCUUGAGAAUGUGCUGAGAUGUACUUUUGAGCUCUAGCAGCCUUUUCCUCACUAUUCUGUCCAUAAGAAUUUCAUGAGAAACGGUCAAAUUGUUGUCAAAAGUCAUGGCACUGUCACAAAGUAUUCACCCCAUUUUCUAAUUUAGUGGAAGCAGCAUAAUGAGAACCUUUUGUCAUGGAUAUUGACCUCUGGGAUCACCCUUCCUAUGUGCUGGUCAACCAUUUGUUUGAUUUUCUGCCCCAGAAUUUUGCCCAUGAUGAACAUGAGGCUCAACAGCCUUCAGUUUAUCCAAUUCACACUUUUUUUUUUUUUUAAAUACAGGGUUUUGGCCUCCUCAAUUCUCCAUGAUUCCUCACAGCACCCUGAGACGUCAGAAGUGCUCAGCACUCCCUCCCAGGGCUUGUUGGUUCUGUCGCCCUGGUUCAGUUUUCUUUCAUAUCAGGAAGGAGCAAGGUGGGAGGGCCACCUCUCCUCCAGGCAUGGACAGAGGGCCAGAGUUCAUUCACAGCUGUGGCAGCAUUGAAAGGAAAUGGGGAAAAUGCUUAGUUUGGCGGAAAAGGGGCUUUGUGAGACAGACACAUGGCAUCUGCCCAAGUCAUGAGCUGAAGAAACAGCUUCCAUGGCCCUGCCAGAGGGACCUCUUGUUAUGCAUCAUUCUCUCCAGCCCUGAGCUUCAUCAAGAAAAUAAGCAUCAGCAGUAUCAUCUCCAAGUGAAAUGGUGGCACAUUAUGUCACCUUUCUUUCCUUCAACAUCAAAAUCAGACAAGACUAUUCUAAGGAGGGAGCAGUAAACAUUAACCCCAUGUAACAGAUAAAAGACUAAAAGAGAAAUUAGAUAACUGGUUUAAGUGACACAGGGAAUCCGUCAUAACUCUGGUGACAUGGCUUCUUAUCAUGCCUGGAAUGUAGUUACUGAUUUACACCUUGUAAAUUUCUCAGUACACGAUGUACAAGUGGCCACUCCGUACUGUCUGUUUAUUCAGACUAAUAGUAAUCACGAUAAUAUGCCAGGCACAGUGGCUCACACCUGUAAUCCCAGCACUUUGGGAGGCGGAGGCAGGAGGA
This is a long non-coding RNA of Cercocebus atys (sooty mangabey), 2817 nucleotides long. RefSeq lists it as uncharacterized. Lineage: Eukaryota; Metazoa; Chordata; Mammalia; Primates; Cercopithecidae. The record is from RefSeq and is a predicted model, not a curated record. The transcript has 4 exons.